GCCCGGGUGGCGGAAUUGGUAGACGCAAGGGACUUAAAAUCCCUCGGGAGUAUCUCCCGUGCCGGUUCGAGUCCGGCCCUGGGCA
Molecule: transfer RNA, 85 nt
Filed under: Candidatus Dadabacteria bacterium
Lineage: Bacteria; Pseudomonadati; Thermodesulfobacteriota; Candidatus Dadabacteria
Also listed under: 2 other names
Description: tRNA-Leu
Rfam family: tRNA
About the family: Transfer RNA (tRNA) molecules are approximately 80 nucleotides in length. Their secondary structure includes four short double-helical elements and three loops (D, anti-codon, and T loops). Further hydrogen bonds mediate the characteristic L-shaped molecular structure. tRNAs have two regions of fundamental functional importance: the anti-codon, which is responsible for specific mRNA codon recognition, and the 3' end, to which the tRNAs corresponding amino acid is attached (by aminoacyl-tRNA synthetases). tRNAs cope with the degeneracy of the genetic code in two manners: having more than one tRNA (with a specific anti-codon) for a particular amino acid; and 'wobble' base-pairing, i.e. permitting non-standard base-pairing at the 3rd anti-codon position.
Source: RNAcentral